RNAcentral lists this unclassified non-coding RNA (210 nucleotides) under soil metagenome. RNAcentral describes it as "partial contains 5.8S ribosomal RNA, internal transcribed spacer 2, and large subunit ribosomal RNA". The record is from RNAcentral.
AACCUAGCACACCUGCGGUGUGUACCUGCGGAGGGAUCAUUACAAUAAAGGCGUCUUCGGGCGCCGCCUGUCUAACAGGAAUUCUUGUAUUUUGUACCAUUGUUGCCUCGGUGGGCUCGCCCACCGGUAUAGGCCCCCUUCAAACUCUUUGCAAUUGCAGUAUCAGUCUGAAAACAAAAACAAUUAAUCAAAACUUUCAACAACGGAUCU